Long non-coding RNA from Apis dorsata (giant honeybee), 735 nucleotides. RefSeq lists it as uncharacterized. The record is from RefSeq and is a predicted model, not a curated record. The transcript has 3 exons. Lineage: Eukaryota; Metazoa; Arthropoda; Insecta; Hymenoptera; Apidae.
UCAAUGGAGAGGAAAAAAAAAAAAAAAGAGCGGAUAAUUAGAUACGUUUCUUUCGCAAGUAUUCUCGAAACCAAGUGUAAACGUAUAAACGAUGGAGAGGAGGAGGGAAAAAAUUCACUGUUCGAAAGAGACGAGUAUCUACUACUUCUCUGACUCGUAUUUAAACGAUUACGUACUCUUGGAAUAACCGUGAUGGCAAGUGUAAUUAGAAUGGGAAGGCGAAGUGCAAGGAAGGGGAAAAAUGGAAAGGAAAAAAAAAAAAAAAAAUAGAGAGAAAGUGCACCACCUUCGGUUAAAAUUCAUGCGAGGCGAUAAUUCGAGGCAACAGGUUGGCAGCAUUGAUUUUUCAACCGCAGCCGUCGAAGCUCGUUGGUUUCGGGGUCAUUCUCGCCUCUGACUCGAGGUGACAGCUGGUCCACAUUUCAACCCGAAUCGAGGACGUUCCAAUGAGCAGCAAAUUAUCGGCUUUCUCGGCGUUAAACGGUUACUGCGUAUAUAAUAAUCGUUGUGACGCAACCGAAUCACGAUUCUGGAAUGGCGGACGCGUGGGCAUCGGAGACGAUUGUCGCCCAUUAUGCCGUUAGUUCGUCUACGCAGUACGGCGGCACAACAUCGAGAGACAACAUCGAGAGAGGAGUCACAGAGAAAACUCACCAGAAACUCGCCGCUGCCGAGGCUCUGCUGCGAUCCGUCCGGCGUCACGGCAAGAUCGGCGACGAUCGACGUUGAGAAGCU